Molecule: ribosomal RNA, 465 nt
Filed under: uncultured bacterium
Lineage: Bacteria
Description: partial 16S ribosomal RNA
Rfam family: Bacterial small subunit ribosomal RNA
Source: RNAcentral
GACGAACGCUGGCGGCGUGCUUAACACAUGCAAGUCGAACGGUAAGGCUCCAGCUUGCUGGGGUACACGAGUGGCGAACGGGUGAGUAACACGUGGGUGACCUGCCCUUCACUUCGGGAUAAGCCUGGGAAACUGGGUCUAAUACCGGAUAGGACCAUGGUGUGGAUACUGUGGUGGAAAGUUUUUUCGGUGUGGGAUGGGCCCGCGGCCUAUCAGCUUGUUGGUGGGGUAAUGGCCUACCAAGGCGGCGACGGGUAGCCGGCCUGAGAGGGUGGAUGGCCCCAUUGGGCCUGAGACACGGCCCAGACUCCUACGGGAGGCAGCAGUGGGGAAUAUUGCACAAUGGGCGGAAGCCGGAUGCAGCGACGCCGCGUGGGGGAUGACGGCCUUCGGGUUGUAAACUCCUUUCACCAUCGACGAAGGGUUUCUGACGGUAGAUGGAGAAGAGGCACCGGCUAACUACGU